CUAAGAAUAUUCCGCAAUGGACGAAAGUCUGACGGAGCGACGCCGCGUGGAUGAUGAAGGCCGGAAGGUUGUAAAAUCCUUUUAUGACUGAGGAAUAAGUGAAGUGAGGGAAACGCUUCAUGGUGACUGUAGGUCAUGAAUAAGCAACGGCUAAUUACGUGCCAGCAGCCGCGGUAACACGUAAGUUGCGAGCGUUGUCCGGAAUUACUGGGCGUAAAGGGUGCGUAGGCGGUAGGCUAAGUUGGAUGUGAAAUACCUGGGCUUAACUUGGGGGCUGCAUUCAAAACUGGUUUACUAGAGUUCAGGAGAGGGAAGCGGAAUUCCUAGUGUAGCGGUAAAAUGCGUAGAUAUUAGGAGGAACACCGGUGGCGAAGGCGGCUUUCUGGACUGACACUGACG
RNAcentral lists this ribosomal RNA (399 nucleotides) under uncultured Treponema sp. Its description in RNAcentral is "bacterial SSU rRNA". It matches the Rfam family "Bacterial small subunit ribosomal RNA", at positions 355 to 745 of the family's 1533-position model. The record is from RNAcentral. Lineage: Bacteria; Pseudomonadati; Spirochaetota; Spirochaetia; Treponematales; Treponemataceae.